GUCCACACUGUAAACGAUGAUAACUAGAUGUUCGGGGGUAACCCUGAGUGUUCAAGCGAAAGCGAUAAGUUAUCCACCUGGGGAGUACGACCGCAAGGUUGAAACUCAAAGGAAUUGACGGGGGCCCGCACAAGCGGUGGAGCAUGUGGUUUAAUUCGAUGAUACGCGAGGAACCUUACCUAGGCUAGAAUGUGCGUGAAUAUUACUGAAAGGUAAUAGUCCUUCGGGACACAAAACAAGGUGCUGCAUGGUUGUCGU
RNAcentral lists this ribosomal RNA (258 nucleotides) under uncultured bacterium. RNAcentral's name for it is "partial 16S ribosomal RNA". It matches the Rfam family "Bacterial small subunit ribosomal RNA", at positions 793 to 1055 of the family's 1533-position model. The record is from RNAcentral.